Molecule: ribosomal RNA, 430 nt
Filed under: uncultured deep-sea archaeon
Lineage: Archaea
Description: bacterial SSU rRNA
Rfam family: Archaeal small subunit ribosomal RNA
Source: RNAcentral
AGUGUUCAAUAGAACUGUGGUAGGUGAGUAAUGUCCCCUACUAGAAAGGAGAGGGCAAGGCUGGUGCCAGCCGCCGCGGUAAAACCAGCUCUUCAAGUGGUCGGGAUAAUUAUUGGGCUUAAAGUGUCCGUAGCCGGUUUAGUAAGUUCCUGGUAAAAUCGGGUAGCUUAACUAUCUGCAUGCUAGGAAUACUGCUAUACUAGAGGGCGGGAGAGGUCUGAGGUACUACAGGGGUAGGGGUGAAAUCUUAUAAUCCUUGUAGGACCACCAGUGGCGAAGGCGUCAGACUGGAACGCGCCUGACGGUGAGGGACGAAAGCCAGGGGAGCGAACCGGAUUAGAUACCCGGGUAGUCCUGGCCGUAAACGAUGCAUACUAGGUGAUGGUACGGCCAUGAGCCGUAUCAGUGCCGUAGGGAAACCGUUAAGUGU